UACGAAGGGGGGCUAGCGUUGCUCGGAAUGACUGGGCGUAAAGGGCGCGUAGGCGGAUGGCACAGUCAGAUGUGAAAUUCCCGGGCUUAACCUGGGGGCUGCAUUUGAUACGUGUGAUCUAGAGUGAGGAAGAGGGUCGUGGAAUUCCCAGUGUAGAGGUGAAAUUCGUAGAUAUUGGGAAGAACACCGGUGGCGAAGGCGGCGACCUGGUCCUUGACUGACGCUGGAGGCGACGAAAGCGUGGGGAGCAAACAGG
This 256-nucleotide ribosomal RNA is filed under the name uncultured bacterium. RNAcentral's name for it is "partial 16S ribosomal RNA". It matches the Rfam family "Bacterial small subunit ribosomal RNA", at positions 524 to 776 of the family's 1533-position model. The record is from RNAcentral.